AUUAAAACAAUAUUUUAUUGUAUAACAUCUUCAAAAAUAUAGCCUGAAUAUUUUGAGAUGCUAUAAAUAACAUACAAAUAUCUUCUUUUUCGAGUCUGAUGUUAGAUUACAUAGAAAUGUUGGGACACAUAAAUGUAUGUAGGGAAAAAUAUCCCAAACAUAGAUCAGAUAGAAUAAUUGAUAUGAAAUUGCUGAGAGAGCUAGUCUGAAUUCAACUCAAGCAAAGUACUACCUUUCUAUACUUUUCACUAUAGUAUUUUAUCUUAUGCAGCACAUAGAGGGUAUACAUUUCUAUAGGAUUACAAAAACACUUAAUUAAAACUUCAUCACAUCAAUUAAACACCAUCUCAAUGUUUCUAAAACUGGAAAAAAAAAAUGCAAUGUUACCUACAAUCAGUGGCUUCGCUAGGUUUUCUUGGCCCCCUGUACAGCACAUUGGGUCAAUAUCCCUCGAUAGGAAUCGUGGACUGUGGUCCCCCUCAGUGGGGGGUAGAUUGGGGGGAGGGGGAUGAGAGGACGUUGAGGGGCCCCACAGUAGCUCUGGGCCCCAUGCACUCUGUCCCGCUGUUCCUCCACUAGUGACGCCCCUGCCUUCAAUAUGUACACAAAGUGCACGGAGGCACUUUAAAAUUCAUGCUUUUUUAGAAACUGGUGCAAAAACACUAAAUGUCCAUGCAUCUAACAGUGAGAGAAAACACAAGAGUGGCUCAACGCUCAAUGACCAAACAAUCUCAACAGUCUGAAACGUCUGCCUUUUGAUGGGCAACACUCACAACAUCUAAAAUUCACAUUAUGAUUCUAUGUAAUGUGGCAACAUGAACUUGUGCUCAUAUGGCAUUUAUUCUCUUGGCAAGGGUUAUAACACUGGAACAUCAAAGAGCUGUUUAGUAUUCAAGACAUCAUAGAGAGACGUCUUAAAUGAAUUAGACAUAUUAGGGGUGGAAUUCUAUUGAUAUCUUUGUUUAGCUUUGUCAAAUACAGGGUAAUGUUUAAAAUAAUCAUCAAACAAAUACACAAAUUAAAAAAAUUAAAAAGGCAAAAAACAAACAAUGUUUAGAAUCCUGUGAUCAAAGAUCACACACGGGGAAGAAGUGUGCUCGUCUGAAUGUAUCACUCAUUUGAAAGAAAAAGUACUUUUUUUUUGUCUGAGUCUCUGAUUGGCAGAGUGAGGUAUGUGGAUGUGCAUGUUGAUUUGUCAGCCUGACAGGAAGUGAUGGAAAGUUGGCCUAUGAGUGUUUUGCAGCAUGGUGGGGCUAAGAAACAGUCAUUUAGGAUAGUAAAUCCAGAGGUAGCAUAUUGGAUCAGCUCAGUUAUAAAAUCCUCCUCUUUAUUAUGAUUUAACCCUUCCAUUGAAAAACUACUUUGCUUCAUAGUUAGUUUAGUUGUGAUUUUCUAAAGCUCAAAAGAAAAACUGCUUAAAAAUAGUUAUAAUAGCCUUGGGGCAAUGUCUCUCUGAGGUAAGAACUUCAGCUCAUUUAAAAUAGAUGUCCAAAAAGACAAAAAAAAAAAGACACUAGUAG
Molecule: long non-coding RNA, 1520 nt
Organism: Sinocyclocheilus rhinocerous
Lineage: Eukaryota; Metazoa; Chordata; Actinopteri; Cypriniformes; Cyprinidae
Exons: 2
Source: RefSeq, a predicted model, not a curated record